AGAGUUUGAUUAUGGCUCAGGACGAACGCUGGCGGCGUGCUUAACACAUGCAAGUCGAACGGAAAGGCCCUGCUUGCAGGGUACUCGAGUGGCGAACGGGUGAGUAACACGUGGGUGAUCUGCCCUGCACUUCGGGAUAAGCCUGGGAAACUGGGUCUAAUACCGGAUAGGAGCCAUUUUUAGUGUGAUGGUUGGAAAGUUUUUUCGGUGUAGGAUGAGCUCGCGGCCUAUCAGCUUGUUGGUGGGGUAAUGGCCUACCAAGGCGGCGACGGGUAGCCGGCCUGAGAGGGUGGACGGCCACAUUGGGACUGAGAUACGGCCCAGACUCCUACGGGAGGCAGCAGUGGGGAAUAUUGCACAAUGGGCGCAAGCCUGAUGCAGCGACGCCGCGUGGGGGAUGACGGCCUUCGGGUUGUAAACUCCUUUCGCUAGGGACGAAGCUUUUUGUGACGGUACCUAGAUAAGAAGCACCGGCUAACUACGUGCCAGCAGCCGCGGUAAUACGUAGGGUGCGAGCGUUGUCCGGAAUUACUGGGCGUAAAGGGCUCGUAGGUGGUUUGUCGCGUCGUCUGUGAAAUUCCGGGGCUUAACUCCGGGCGUGCGGGCGAUACGGGCAUAACUUGAGUACUGUAGGGGUAACUGGAAUUCCUGGUGUAGCGGUGAAAUGCGCAGAUAUCAGGAGGAACACCGAUGGCGAAGGCAGGUUACUGGGCAGUUACUGACGCUGAGGAGCGAAAGCAUGGGUAGCGAACAGGAUUAGAUACCCUGGUAGUCCAUGCCGUAAACGGUGGGCGCUAGGUGUGAGGGUCUUUUCACGACUUUCGUGCCGUAGCUAACGCAUUAAGCGCCCCGCCUGGGGAGUACGGCCGCAAGGCUAAAACUCAAAUGAAUUGACGGGG
RNAcentral lists this ribosomal RNA (899 nucleotides) under uncultured Actinomycetes bacterium. RNAcentral describes it as "bacterial SSU rRNA". It matches the Rfam family "Bacterial small subunit ribosomal RNA", at positions 8 to 918 of the family's 1533-position model. The record is from RNAcentral. Lineage: Bacteria; Bacillati; Actinomycetota; Actinomycetes.